This 464-nucleotide ribosomal RNA is filed under the name uncultured bacterium. RNAcentral describes it as "partial 16S ribosomal RNA". It matches the Rfam family "Bacterial small subunit ribosomal RNA", at positions 339 to 795 of the family's 1533-position model. The record is from RNAcentral.
CUACGGGGUGCAGCAGUAGGGAAUCUUCGGCAAUGGGCGAAAGCCUGACCGAGCAAUGCCGCGUGAGGGAUGAAGGCCUUCGGGUUGUAAACCUCUGUCAUCGGGGAAGAAAGAGCGAGGCAGGAAAUGGCCGCGCUUUGACGGUACCCGAGGAGGAAGUCACGGCGAAUUACGUGCCAGCAGCCGCGGUAAUACGUAAGUGGCGAACGAUGUCCGGAAUCACUGGGUGUAAAGCGCAUGUAGGCGGCUUGGUAAGUCUGAGGUGAAAUCCACGGGCCUAACCCGUGAACUGCCUUGGAAACUGCCGAGCUCGAGGGCCGGAGGGGAAAGUGGAAUUUCGGGUGUAGCGGUGAAAUGCGUAGAUAUCCGAGAGAACACCGAUGUCGAAGGCAGCUUUCUGGCCGGUUCCUGACGCUGAGAUGCGAAAGCUAGGGGAGCGAACGGGAUUAGAUACCCUGGUAGUC